CAGGACUUGACAUCUACCUAAUCCUUUAGAGAUAGAGGAGUGCCUUUCGGGGAAAGGUAAGACAGGUGGUGCAUGGUUGUCGUCAGCUCGUGUCGUGAGAUGUUGGGUUAAGUCCCGCAACGAGCGCAACCCUUGUCAUUAGUUGCUACCAUUAAGUUGAGCACUCUAAUGAGACUGCCGGGGACAGCUCGGAGGAAGGUGGGGAUGACGUCAAAUCAUCAUGCCCCUUAUGUCCUGGGCUACACACGUGCUACAAUGGCUGUAACAAAGUGACGCAAUAUCGCGAGGUGGAGCAAAUCACUAAAAACAGUCCCAGUUCGGAUUGAUGGCUGAAACUCGCCAUCAUGAAGCCGGAGUUGCUAGUAAUCGCGAAUCAGCAUGUCGCGGUGAAUACGUUCC
This 399-nucleotide ribosomal RNA is filed under the name uncultured bacterium. Its description in RNAcentral is "bacterial SSU rRNA". It matches the Rfam family "Bacterial small subunit ribosomal RNA", at positions 975 to 1374 of the family's 1533-position model. The record is from RNAcentral.